UGUGGGAAAGAUUCUAUCGGCGUGGGAUGGGGUCGCGUCCUAUCAGCUUGUUGGUGAGGUAACGGCUCACCAAGGCUUCGACGGGUAGCCGGCCUGAGAGGGCGACCGGCCACAUUGGGACUGAGAUACGGCCCAGACUCCUACGGGAGGCAGCAGUGGGGAAUAUUGCACAAUGGGCGCAAGCCUGAUGCAGCGACGCCGCGUGAGGGAUGGAGGCCUUCGGGUUGUAAACCUCUUUUGUUUGGGAGCAAGCCUUCGGGUGAGUGUACCUUUCGAAUAAGCGCCGGCUAACUACGUGCCAGCAGCCGCGGUAAUACGUAGGGCGCAAGCGUUAUCCGGAUUUAUUGGGCGUAAAGGGCUCGUAGGCGGCUCGUCGCGUCCGGUGUGAAAGUCCAUCGCUUAACGGUGGAUCUGCGCCGGGUACGGGCGGGCUG
This 434-nucleotide ribosomal RNA is filed under the name uncultured Bifidobacterium sp. RNAcentral's name for it is "bacterial SSU rRNA". It matches the Rfam family "Bacterial small subunit ribosomal RNA", at positions 197 to 643 of the family's 1533-position model. The record is from RNAcentral. Lineage: Bacteria; Bacillati; Actinomycetota; Actinomycetes; Bifidobacteriales; Bifidobacteriaceae.